Molecule: transfer RNA, 87 nt
Filed under: Amnibacterium kyonggiense
Lineage: Bacteria; Bacillati; Actinomycetota; Actinomycetes; Micrococcales; Microbacteriaceae
Also listed under: 2 other names
Description: tRNA-Ser
Rfam family: tRNA
About the family: Transfer RNA (tRNA) molecules are approximately 80 nucleotides in length.
Source: RNAcentral
GGUGGCGUGUCCGAGCGGCCGAAGGAGCAUGUCUCGAAAACAUGUGAUGGUGCAAGCCAUCCGUGGGUUCAAAUCCCACCGCCACCG